UAGGGAAUCUUCCGCAAUGGACGCAAGUCUGACGGAGCAACGCCGCGUGAGUGAAGAAGGAUUUCGGUUCGUAAAACUCUGUUGUUAGAGAAGAACAGCGCAUAGAGUAACUGUUAUGCGUCUGACGGCAUCUAACCAGAAAGCCACGGCUAACUACGUGCCAGCAGCCGCGGUAAUACGUAGGUGGCAAGCGUUGUCCGGAUUUAUUGGGCGUAAAGCGAGCGCAGGCGGUCAAUUAAGUCUGAUGUGAAAGCCCCCGGCUCAACCGGGGAGGGUCAUUGGAAACUGGUUGACUUGAGUGCAGAAGAGGAGAGUGGAAUUCCAUGUGUAGCGGUGAAAUGCGUAGAUAUAUGGAGGAACACCAGUGGCGAAGGCGACUCUCUGGUCUGUAACUGACGCUGAGGCUCGAAAGCGUGGGUAGCAAACAGG
This 429-nucleotide ribosomal RNA is filed under the name Bacteroidota bacterium. RNAcentral's name for it is "Bacteroidetes bacterium partial 16S ribosomal RNA". It matches the Rfam family "Bacterial small subunit ribosomal RNA", at positions 355 to 776 of the family's 1533-position model. The record is from RNAcentral. Lineage: Bacteria; Pseudomonadati; Bacteroidota.